AAAUUAAAAACAAAAGCAAUUUAAAGCCAAAAAGCGGCAAAAAAUUCAUCUAAAACAAAGAAAAAAGUUAAAAUCUGGACUGCAACAAAAACAAAAACAAUGCGGAUGACAUCUUUGGAUGCUCUUGCUCGUGUAAUUUAGGUUACUUUUUUUGCUGAAUUUGUCGUCUCUAAGCCGAUCGACACGAGUUUACAUCACAAUUUUGGAAGAUUCAAACGAAUUUUAUUUUAUUGAGAAAGCCGGAGGUCGUUUUCAUUAACAGCUGCUGAAAAACAUUUUUGUUGACAUCCGAAAAUUCGAACCGACACCGCAGAACGAGUUGAUGGAUUUGGCUUGCUAUGAAAUUUGGAAUUUAAGGACAUCCGAAGACGUUUUGUGAUUCGUCAAGGCUAAACUGGUGGAAAAUAAUCCAAAUUUA
Molecule: long non-coding RNA, 418 nt
Organism: Culicoides brevitarsis
Lineage: Eukaryota; Metazoa; Arthropoda; Insecta; Diptera; Ceratopogonidae
Exons: 3
Source: RefSeq, a predicted model, not a curated record